AAAAAGGUAAUAUCCUGGUUAUAACCUGGUUAUUACCAAGUAAUAUCUCAGGUUAUAACCAGGUAAGGUCUCAGGAUAUAACCAGGUGAUAACCAGGUUAUAACCAGGUUAUGUCU
This is a non-coding RNA of Xyrichtys novacula (pearly razorfish), 116 nucleotides long. The record is from the annotation of a GenBank genome assembly. NCBI's taxonomy places the organism in Eukaryota, Metazoa, Chordata, Actinopteri, Labriformes, Labridae.